AUUUAAUUCUCAUUAAGACAUAAGACUGGAUAAUAUAGGCACCGUGUCUAAAUUCAAGUAAGAAGCAAGUGAUAACUACAAACCCAUCUUGUUCUUUCCUGGGUCUUCCUUAAGCUUCUUCCUUCCCCUAGUUCUGCAGUAUUUUUUCAUUUAAUUUUGUUCAGCCUUAAACAAGGAGCAUGCCCUGCAGACUGGACAGUGUUAGUAGAGAGAUGCAGUGGGUUGUUCUUGGCUAUUUCCAACACAUGUGUGUGGCAUCUGAUCCCUCUAGAUAUGGAGCUAUUCAGUGGAUUGGAUUGAUGGACUCUGAGGCACCCUUCGUUUCUGACAAACACUCACUAGUGUGCCUCAGCUCUACAAAUGUCCUCUCCUCUUCCUGCGGUUUGUUAGUGUACUGAACUGACACCUUACAUGCAAUGUGAUGUAGAAUUUGCCCUUUCCUGGCCCCUCAUCAGAAUUUUCAUCAGAAUCAAGGGGGAAAGCUUGAUUGGAGCUGCAAGGCAAAUACAUUUUAAAUUGGAAAUUUGAUUCUGCAUUUUUAAUUGCAUGAACAACAAUGUGCUAGAGUGAUUUAGAAAGGUUCAUAACUUGGUCCACUCGACACACUUGUUUACUGAAUAAUUUAAAAUCUAAUUUUACAUAUGAAAAUUUAGAAGUUAGAUUUAAAUUCAUAGCCUUUCUCUGUCUCUGUCUCUGCCCUUUUCUCUUUGAACCAAAUGAAACCAAACCAACUCUACAAAAUGAUCACGUUAGUAUUUUGA
This 761-nucleotide long non-coding RNA is filed under the name Marmota monax (woodchuck). The record is from RNAcentral. Lineage: Eukaryota; Metazoa; Chordata; Mammalia; Rodentia; Sciuridae.